This 74-nucleotide transfer RNA is filed under the name Wigglesworthia glossinidia endosymbiont of Glossina brevipalpis. Its description in RNAcentral is "tRNA-Trp (CCA) (tRNA-Trp-CCA-1-1)". It matches the Rfam family "tRNA". From Rfam's summary of the family: Transfer RNA (tRNA) molecules are approximately 80 nucleotides in length. Their secondary structure includes four short double-helical elements and three loops (D, anti-codon, and T loops). Further hydrogen bonds mediate the characteristic L-shaped molecular structure. tRNAs have two regions of fundamental functional importance: the anti-codon, which is responsible for specific mRNA codon recognition, and the 3' end, to which the tRNAs corresponding amino acid is attached (by aminoacyl-tRNA synthetases). tRNAs cope with the degeneracy of the genetic code in two manners: having more than one tRNA (with a specific anti-codon) for a particular amino acid; and 'wobble' base-pairing, i.e. permitting non-standard base-pairing at the 3rd anti-codon position. The record is from Rfam by way of RNAcentral. Lineage: Bacteria; Pseudomonadati; Pseudomonadota; Gammaproteobacteria; Enterobacterales; Erwiniaceae.
AGGGGUAUAGCUCAACUCGGAAGAGCGCUGGUCUCCAAAACCGGAGGUUGAGAGUUCAAGUCUCUCUACCCCUG